Beta vulgaris subsp. vulgaris (sugar beet) is the source of this 1893-nucleotide long non-coding RNA. RefSeq lists it as uncharacterized. The transcript has 6 exons. NCBI's taxonomy places the organism in Eukaryota, Viridiplantae, Streptophyta, Magnoliopsida, Caryophyllales, Amaranthaceae. The record is from RefSeq and is a predicted model, not a curated record.
CGUCUGAAUUUACCGUCCGGACCCAUCAGACGCAAAUUAGCGUCCGUCUUGAUAAAAUUAGCGUCCAUUUUUGGACGGACGCUAAUUAGCGUCCGUUUUUGAAAAAUUAGCGUCCGUCUUUGGAGCGAACGCUAAUUAGCAUCCGUGAAACAAGUUUACCGUCUAACAUGACGGACGGUAAUCAAUGGUCAUUAAAAAAAACACGACCCACCUUAUUUCCAACCCUAUCUCUAUCUGUCCUUAUUCUCUCACCUCUUUCUUCGUCUUCUUUCUCGCUCUUCUUUUCUUCUUCCUUUCUAUUUUUUUCUCUGAUUUGAAGGAGGUUCGAUCACCGUCGACGAAAUUCAAUGGUCCGCUACCACACUUUCUCUGAUUUGUAGGAGGUUCGAUCGAUUUCUGAGCCAAUCACCGUCGCAGGUUUUCGUUUUAGGGUUAGUGAUUUUUUUGGGUUUUUUAUGUGGGUUGUUUCAGAUCUAGUUUUUUUUUGUUAAUUUCUCAAUUCUUCCUUCAAAACCCCAUAUUUAUCCUCUCUUUUUUUCGAUUUUUAUUUUCGAAUCCUUUUUUCGUAUGUUUUUUUCGUUUUCUCAAUUUUUAUUUAUCCUCUCUUUUUCGAUUUUUGUUUCAGAUCUGGUUUUUUCUUGAUUUUUUCGUCGGGUUUUUGUGCUAUGAUUUUAUGUUGAACUUUUAAUCUGGUGGACUAUCUGGUGUUUUGAUAUGUUAUUUAGCAGUUAUUAAAUUUUGUUAUGCCAUUACUUUGUAAUUAUUUAUGAAGACAGAAUUUGUUUCACUUUGGACCCUUGCUGAUUGGUUUUUCGUAACAUGUAGUAUGCAUAAAUAUUGCAAAUAGAUUUGCUGGUCCUCUAAGUAACUUCUGUAAAACAUUUGAUGGGUCUGUUGUAUUUUAGAAUUAGUUCAACUUUUGGUAGUGAUUUUGCAGAUUCUUUUAUUGCGAUUAUUUUUUUUUGAAUUUGUUGUUGUCCUGCAGUUUUUGAGUAUAAUUUAUAAUCCUGUGGAACUUUCAAUGUAGCUCCUGGAAUUAGCGCUUCUCCCUCGGAAGAGAAUAUGCGGUACUUUAAUGUUAUGAUUUUGGGUCCUUCUCAAUCUCCUUAUGAAUUUGUUUUGGCAAGUUUGUUGAGAUCCAGUUUGACAUAGACGGUAGAAUUUCUGGUGCUGCAAUCAGGACCUACCUUCUAGAGAGGUCUCAUGUUGUUCAGAUUACCAAUCCUGAAAGGAAUUAUCAUUGCUUUUACCAACUUUGCGCAUCUAAGGAGAUACUGCUGGAGCAAGGAGCCAUUAGCAGCAUCUCUGAGUGCAUGCAGGAUUACCAAGUUACAGGAAUGAUUAAUUAUAGUAUUGAGGAGUGAGUGGUGGAUAAGUGUGAACUGGGGGUGACUUGUACAUUGGGGUUGGUGGUAGAGGUGAAUACUCAUCCUACUCAAGGAUUUCAUGGAGGACCCAUAUGUGGCAGCUGACGGGUACACAUACGACCGGAAGGCGAUAGAGGAAGUGGCUCAUGGAAAGCGACAUGUUGCCAAUUAUCUUAUGAGACAGGGUUAUGAGAUUUACGUUUGAGUUCCAGAUUUGAAGUUAGUUUUGAUCCAAUACCAGAUUUGAAGUCCAUUUUGGUUCUAGAUUUUUGUUGUGGAGUUUAAAGUGUACAUGUAAUUAUAUGAGAUUUGUAUUAGAUUUUGUUCCAAGUAUACUAGAAUUUAGUUCUAGAAUUAUUUUUUCACUUGUAUCUACAUUUAUUAUUAAUAAUAAUUGAAUUGAUUAAUUUGUUUGCCUUAAUAAAAGAAGUAUGGUAUUUGCAUCAUUUCAUAUCUUAUUACAUUUAAUAUCAAUUAAUUAAAAGCGAAAAGCUAUUACAUUUAAUAUUAGUUAACCAAAAGCGAA